This 292-nucleotide ribosomal RNA is filed under the name uncultured bacterium. RNAcentral describes it as "partial 16S ribosomal RNA". It matches the Rfam family "Bacterial small subunit ribosomal RNA", at positions 505 to 796 of the family's 1533-position model. The record is from RNAcentral.
GUUACAGCCGCCGCGGUAAUACAGAGGUCCCAAGCGUUGUUCGGAUUCACUGGGCGUAAAGGGUGCGUAGGUGGCGCUUCAAGUUUGAUGUGAAAGCUCAGGGCUUAACCCUGAAAUGGCAUUGAAUACUGGGGUGCUGGAGGUUUGGAGGGGGGACUGGAAUUCUCGGUGUAGCAGUGAAAUGCGUAGAUAUCGAGAGGAACACCAGUGGCGAAGGCGAGUCCCUGGACAACACCUGACACUGAGGCACGAAAGCCGGGGGAGCAAACAGGAUUAGAAACCCGGGUAGUCC